Molecule: non-coding RNA, 83 nt
Organism: Podarcis lilfordi (Lilford's wall lizard)
Lineage: Eukaryota; Metazoa; Chordata; Lepidosauria; Squamata; Lacertidae
Source: the annotation of a GenBank genome assembly
GCAGAGGAGCCGUGGCUCAUUGGUAGGCCACCUGCCUUGCAUGCGGGAGUCCCCAGCUUCAAUCCCUACUGGAAUCCUCUGCU